UCAAGAUGUGUACAUUUUAUUUUUAAUCAUUUUAAAAUUUGAAUUGCAAUUUUCGUUACAUUUGAUCUGUAAGAAUUCGAUUCUGAAUCAUUUUCAUUUCAAAUCGAUUCACACACAUAGCAGACGCUAACACAUCAAGCGUCAUCAAUAGCGUGGUCUGUGGAUGCUAUCGCUGGAGUAAGGCGUUUACCUUCAAUUCGGGUAGCGUAAUGAUUGGCCUACCCUGAUGGCGUCAUGAUCGCUGCUGAUUGCCUUUCAAAUAGGUUUUCAGCAUUCUGCUUACACCUUUGGCAUAGAGUCACAUAUUUCACAAUCCAACAUCAAUUGGUACCAACAGCAGCCCUUCUCUCAAUCAUCCAGAAGGGUCUGAGAUCAGUGUUGGAGAUGAUGGUUCGGAACAACCCAUGGAAAGCUUAUCACUCAUUGAUUAUGUGAUGCCUGAUGUUGUUGCAAGUCGUCAACAGCACUUUGGGACAUCAUAAAGGACCUUCUUUCGCACUAAAAUGGAACAAAAAUGGCAACUAUAUCCUCAGUGCUGGAUUCAACAUUGAAACGACCAUCAUUUGGGACGCUUCAACGAGUCAGUGCACGCAGCAGUUUGCUUUCCAUUCCGGCCCAGCACUCGACGUAGAUUGGCAGUCGAAUGUCAGUUUUGCAUCAUGCUCCACUGACCAGUGUAUUUAUGUUUGUAAGCUGGGCAGUAACAAGCCAACCAAAUCCUUCCAAGGACAUACGAAUGAAGUAAACGCCAUUAAGUGGGAUCCUUAGGGUAAUCUUUUGGCUUCCUGUUCUGACGAUAUGACGCUCAAGAUGUGGUCCAUGAAACAAGCCACCUGUGUUCAUGAUUCGCAAGCACACGACAAGGAAAUCUACACCAUGAAAUGGAGUCCUACCGGUCUUGGAACAAAUAACCCAAACAUGAAUCUGAUUUCGGCUAGCGCUUUAUAACGAAUGCUAUUCAGGUCAUUACAUUACAUACGGAGUAUUAAAACGUAG
This is a long non-coding RNA of Daphnia pulicaria, 996 nucleotides long. RefSeq lists it as uncharacterized. The record is from RefSeq and is a predicted model, not a curated record. The transcript is spliced from 6 exons. Lineage: Eukaryota; Metazoa; Arthropoda; Branchiopoda; Diplostraca; Daphniidae.